UGCAAGUCGAGGGGCAGCGGGAUUGAAGCUUGCUUCAAUCGCCGGCGACCGGCGCACGGGUGAGUAACGCGUAUCCAACCUUCCGUACACUCAGGGAUAGCCUUUCGAAAGAAAGAUUAAUACCUGAUGGUAUCUUAAGCACACAUGUAAUUAAGAUUAAAGAUUUAUCGGUGUACGAUGGGGAUGCGUUCCAUUAGGUAGUAGGCGGGGUAACGGCCCACCUAGCCUACGAUGGAUAGGGGUUCUGAGAGGAAGGUCCCCCACAUUGGAACUGAGACACGGUCCAAACUCCUACGGGAGGCAGCAGUGAGGAAUAUUGGUCAAUGGACGAGAGUCUGAACCAGCCAAGUAGCGUGAAGGAUGAAGGUCCUACGGAUUGUAAACUUCUUUUAUAAGGGAAUAAACCCUCCCACGUGUGGGAGCUUGUAUGUACCUUAUGAAUAAGCAUCGGCUAACUCCGUGCCAGCAGCCGCGGUAAUACGGAGGAUGCGAGCGUUAUCCGGAUUUAUUGGGUUUAAAGGGAGCGCAGACGGGUCGUUAAGUCAGCUGUGAAAGUUUGGGGCUCAACCUUAAAAUUGCAGUUGAUACUGGCGUCCUUGAGUGCGGUUGAGGUGUGCGGAAUUCGUGGUGUAGCGGUGAAAUGCUUAGAUAUCACGAAGAACUCCGAUUGCGAA
RNAcentral lists this ribosomal RNA (674 nucleotides) under uncultured bacterium. RNAcentral describes it as "bacterial SSU rRNA". It matches the Rfam family "Bacterial small subunit ribosomal RNA", at positions 56 to 719 of the family's 1533-position model. The record is from RNAcentral.